RNAcentral lists this unclassified non-coding RNA (328 nucleotides) under soil metagenome. Its description in RNAcentral is "partial contains 5.8S ribosomal RNA, internal transcribed spacer 2, and large subunit ribosomal RNA". The stretch from base 1 to 120 matches the Rfam family "5.8S ribosomal RNA", at positions 35 to 154 of the family's 154-position model. The record is from RNAcentral.
GAUGAAGAACGUAGCGAAAUGCGAUAAGUAAUGUGAAUUGCAGAAUUCAGUGAAUCAUCGAAUCUUUGAACGCACAUUGCGCCCCCUGGUAUUCCGGGGGGCAUGCCUGUCCGAGCGUCAUUACAACCCUCAAGCUCAGCUUGGUAUUGGGCCCCGCCGCUCCGGCGGGCCCUAAAGUCAGUGGCGGUGCCGUCCGGCUCCGAGCGUAGUAAUUCUUCUCGCUCUGGAGGUCCGGUCGUGUGCUCGCCAGCAACCCCCAAUUUUUUUCAGGUUGACCUCGGAUCAGGUAGGGAUACCCGCUGAACUUAAGCAUAUCAAUAAGCGGAGG